Molecule: ribosomal RNA, 253 nt
Filed under: uncultured bacterium
Lineage: Bacteria
Description: partial 16S ribosomal RNA
Rfam family: Bacterial small subunit ribosomal RNA
Source: RNAcentral
UACGUAGGGUGCAAGCGUUGUCCGGAAUUAUUGGGCGGAAAGAGCUCGUAGGCGGUUUGUUGCGUCGGCUGUGAAAUCCCGAGGCUCAACCUCGGGUCUGCAGUCGAUACGAGCAAACUAGAGUGUUGCAGGGGAGACUGGAAUUCCUGGUGUAGCGGUGAAAUGCGCAGAUAUCAGGAGGAACACCGGUGGCGAAGGCGGGUCUCUGGGCCGUAACUGACGCUGAGGAGCGAAAGCGUGGGGAGCGAACAGG